UGUUUAUACGAUUUACCGAACUAGAAGGUAGGAUGAAUUUGGGUUUCCUAAGAGUUAUUAUAUACAAAUACAUCAGUGCAAUAAUAAUGAAG
Non-coding RNA from Schizosaccharomyces pombe (fission yeast), 92 nucleotides. The record is from the annotation of a GenBank genome assembly. NCBI's taxonomy places the organism in Eukaryota, Fungi, Ascomycota, Schizosaccharomycetes, Schizosaccharomycetales, Schizosaccharomycetaceae.